CCUACGGGAGGCAGCAGUGAGGAAUAUUGGUCAAUGGGCGAGAGUCUGAACCAGCCAAGUCGCGUGAAGGAAGACGGUCCUAUGGAUUGUAAACCUCUUUUGUCGGGGAGUAAAAUUCGGUACGUGUACCGCAUCGUGAGUACCCGGAGAAAAAGCAUCGGCUAACUCCGUGCCAGCAGCCGCGGUAAUACGGAGGAUUCGAGCGUUAUCCGGAUUUAUUGGGUUUAAAGGGUGCGGAGGCGGCCGAGUAAGUCAGGUGUGAAAAUUUGGGGCUCAACCCCAGAAUAGCCGUUGAAACUGGGUUGCUAGAGUGCGCGAGAGGUAUGCGGAAUGCGUGGUGUAGCGGUGAAAUGCAUAGAUAUCACGAAGAACUCCGAUUGCGAAGGCAGCAUACCGGCGCCCAACUGACGCUCAGGCACGAAAGCGUGGGUAUCGAACAGGAUUAGAUACCCGGGUAGUC
This 460-nucleotide ribosomal RNA is filed under the name uncultured bacterium. RNAcentral's name for it is "partial 16S ribosomal RNA". It matches the Rfam family "Bacterial small subunit ribosomal RNA", at positions 338 to 795 of the family's 1533-position model. The record is from RNAcentral.